CCUGGCCCGGCUGGCUGGCUCUCUGCUCCACCCCGAGGGCACCACGCAGUCACGGGAAGGCGCACUGAAGCAGCGAGGGCCCCCUCGGUUAGCACUGGAAAAUCGGUUCCUAGAAUUUGACCAGUGAAUCAUAGUGAAGAAAUGCAAACUCGAGUGCAUUUCUUGUUUUUCCUCCUUCCCCUUGAGAGAUGGCGGCCCUCGCUGGGCCGCACCCCACCCCACGCAGACGCGGAAGGAGAUAGCACCCUCCAGCCUCAUCAGGAAUGGGUAAACCUGACCCCAGCCCAGCUUGUCCAGUUGCCUGUCAGGCAACAUAAGCUCUGGGAUGCCCCCAGGACAACCAAGCUGAUCCAGUCAAGGAAGCACAUUCUAGGAGACGAAACAGCAUGUGCAAAGGCCCUGGGGAAGAAAAGGGGACCUGAAGUGAGGGAAACUUUGCAGGGCAAGAUCUGCGGAGCCAUGGGGGCACAAAUGCCCAUGUUUCCACAGGGGAGUCAGACCCUAAACCCCACCAUUCCCCAUCAGGUGCCAGCUAACUCAGGCCCCAUGCCUUCUCACAGAUGAGAAAACUGAGCUGCAAAGAGCUAGAGUGGCUGGUCCUGGUUUAGAGAGAACAUAUGCCCAAAACGUUAACUCGGGAGGAAACAGGAGCACCGGAACACGAGUCCGAGAGCCUGGCUCCAGGCCAGCCCUGCCCUGCGAGGAGACCCACAGCCUCGUGGGGCCAUCUGGCUCCUGCCCCAACGCUCCUUCGUCUGCUCAGGGGAGGCAAUAAUAGCACCAGCCUCCCAGGUUGUUAAUGGAAAAUACACGUGUGCCAGCGCCCUCUAAACCCCUCAAGGACUGUAGCUCUUGUUCAGGACUCUUGACCUCCCAGCCCUCUCCCUGUGCCUGCCCUCACCCCCACAGCAGCCGGUGGGAUCCCCUGAAACCUUGCGUCCCAUUGGGCCACACCCCGACUGACAGCCCGCAGUGGCCUCCUGGCCGGCAGCCGUCUUCCUCACCGUGGCCCCCUGGCCCGGGUGCCUGGACCCCUGCCCACGUCCGUGCCCUCGGUCCUGCCCAUCCCCCGGCGCCAGGCUCUUUGCCUUCCCUCUGCCAGGAGCUCUCCCUGGUUUGGGCUCUUCUCCUUCAGGUCUCAGUCCAAAUGUUGGUACUUAUUAUGUGCUGCCUUUUUCGGUUUAAUAGAAUAUUUGUAUUUGCUGAUAUCUGCAUAAAGAAGCUCUGAUUCUUUCAAAACUACAAACAGUGAUGACUGGGCCCGGGGACAAGCACAAGAGGGACAGAGGUGGCAGAGGAGCUGCCCUCGAUAGCUUUUUACCAAUUCUGGGUUUUGAACCCCGCGAAGGCUCUAUAUACUCACCUUCUUGGAGAGGCCCGCCCUGACGGGCUGUUCCCAAACCGCCCCCUCUCCCUCGCUCUUCAUCCCCUCCCCGCUUUAUUUUUAUUCAUCCUCCUGUCACUAACUGCCAUCAUUUUUAGUGUGUAUUUGAUGGAUUAUUGUGUGUCCCUCCCAUUGGAAUGUCACCCUGGGAGCCCAGGGCCAGGUCCUGUCCCGGCACUGUGUCACAGGGGCUUCACAGAUCCCCGCUGCACACCAGAAGCCCGUCCCAGAGCUGCUCCCACCGCCCAGCGGUGCGCACCUCCACGCACCGUCCACGCUCAUUGACGCCACACCAGGACUGCAGCCAGCACGCCACGGGUGCUCAACAAAUGUUUGUGGAAUGAAUGAAGGCGUGGAUGUCUAAAAGACCUUCUAACAGACGGACACAGACCUUCCAGAAGGACGAGCGAAGCUUUUUAAGAGGAAAACACCUGGAAUAGCUACUGGCACAGAGGAGAUAUUCAAUACAUGGUAGCUACUAUAAUUAUUACUAGAGUGUGAAUGACUUGCCUGGGCCUCUUUCUGUGAGCAGGAGGAAGAAGUGAGGCCAGGAAAGCCCUGAGAAGAGAGGGAGGAAACACAAAAUUCUUCUUUGGAGCUUUUCC
This is a long non-coding RNA of Equus caballus (horse), 1989 nucleotides long. Lineage: Eukaryota; Metazoa; Chordata; Mammalia; Perissodactyla; Equidae. The record is from Ensembl.